AAGAUCAUACUUCACAGGAUCAUUUCUGUAGUAUAUCUUCACAUCCUCUCUACUCAAUUGUGGAGUCGAUACAGCCACGAUGACGAGGUAUAAUCCUCUUCUCUGAGCGUGAGGAAGAUUGAGGUCUUGACGAUUGUCGAGAACUCAAUCAUCGAUGAUCGUUCACCUUCCAGGCAAUAAGUCGGAUGGUAUGAGAAGUGGAUAUUCCGAGUGGU
Cotesia glomerata is the source of this 215-nucleotide small nucleolar RNA. RefSeq annotates it as small nucleolar RNA U3. The record is from RefSeq and is a predicted model, not a curated record. The transcript has a single exon. Lineage: Eukaryota; Metazoa; Arthropoda; Insecta; Hymenoptera; Braconidae.